This is a non-coding RNA of Desarmillaria tabescens, 96 nucleotides long. Lineage: Eukaryota; Fungi; Basidiomycota; Agaricomycetes; Agaricales; Physalacriaceae. The record is from the annotation of a RefSeq genome assembly.
GCCCGCCUAGCUCAAUCGGAUAGAGCGUCAGACUCUUAACAGGCUGGGCGGUUUAAGCAAAUCUGAAGGCUGUGAGUUCGACCCUCGCGGUGGGCU